GAUGAAGAACGCAGCGAAAUGCGAUAAGUAGUGUGAAUUGCAGAAUUCAGUGAAUCAUCGAAUCUUUGAACGCACAUUGCGCCCCUUGGUAUUCCAUGGGGCAUGCCUGUUCGAGCGUCAUUUGUACCUUCAAGCCUUGCUUGGUGUUGGGUGUUUGUCUCGCCUCUGCGCGCAGACUCGCCUCAAAACAAUUGGCAGCCGGCGUAUUGAUUUCGGAGCGCAGUACAUCUCGCGCUUUGCACUCAGAACGACGACGUCCAAAAGUACAUUUUUACACUCUUGACCUCGGAUCAGGUAGGGAUACCCGCUGAACUUAAGAAUAUCAAUAAGCGGAGGA
Molecule: unclassified non-coding RNA, 337 nt
Filed under: soil metagenome
Description: partial contains 5.8S ribosomal RNA, internal transcribed spacer 2, and large subunit ribosomal RNA
Rfam family: 5.8S ribosomal RNA (bases 1-120)
Source: RNAcentral